RNAcentral lists this ribosomal RNA (856 nucleotides) under Pythium porphyrae. RNAcentral's name for it is "eukaryotic LSU rRNA". It matches the Rfam family "Eukaryotic large subunit ribosomal RNA", at positions 411 to 1143 of the family's 3401-position model. The record is from RNAcentral. Lineage: Eukaryota; Oomycota; Peronosporomycetes; Pythiales; Pythiaceae.
GUGGGUGCGUGCAGCGUUUUGGAAGUAGUUUUCUGCUCCUGUCGUUGUUUUGCGCUCGCCUGCUGGUGCCCUGUGCUGUAGUGGGACGUCAGAGUCAAUUCGUAUGCUGCGGGAAAUGGUUACUGGGGAGGUAGGUCACUUCGGUGGCUGUUAUAUCCUGGUGACUAGUCGUCGUGGUUGGGAUUGAGGUGCCUACAAUGUGCUUUCGAGUCUGUGGGUCUCUCGUUUGGCCGUUUGCCUUGAUAGCUUGCUAUGUUGGUGAAUGUGUCGGGCGAUUGGGAUCUGUAGUAACUUGUUGCCGUUCGGGACUUUGACGAAAUGGAGCGAUCCGACCCGUCUUGAAACACGGACCAAGGAGUCUAACAUGUGUGCAAGUGUUAGGGUGUGGAAACCCCAGCGCGAAAUGAAAGUAAAGGGCAGCCUAGCUGCCUGAGGUAGGAAACCUUUGUUUACAGGGGUGGCACUAUCGACCGAUCAUGAACCUUCGUGGUGAAAGAUUUGAGUUUGAGCACAUAUGUUGGUACCCGAAAGAUGGUGAACUAUGCCUGAGUAGGGUGAAGCCAGGGGAAACUCUGGUGGAGGCUCGUAGCGAUUCUGACGUGCAAAUCGAUCGUCGAACUUGGGUAUAGGGGCGAAAGACUAAUCGAACCAUCUAGUAGCUGGUUCCCUCCGAAAUUUCCCUCAGGAUAGCAGCAACUUAUUUACGAUAGUUUUAUGAGGUAAAGCGAAUGAUUAGAGGAUUUGGGGAAGAAACUUCCUUGACCUAUUCUCAAACUUUAAAUCUGUAAGACCUGCAGGUUUCUUAAUUGAACUUGUGGAUGUGAAUAUCAAGUUGCUAGUGGGCCAUUCGGGGUAA